Molecule: ribosomal RNA, 253 nt
Filed under: uncultured bacterium
Lineage: Bacteria
Description: partial 16S ribosomal RNA
Rfam family: Bacterial small subunit ribosomal RNA
Source: RNAcentral
UACAGAGGAUGCAAGCGUUAUCCGGAAUGAUUGGGCGUAAAGCGUCUGUAGGUGGCUUUUUAAGUCCGCCGUCAAAUCCCAGGGCUCAACUCUGGACAGGCGGUGGAAACUACCAAGCUGGAGUACGGUAGGGGCAGAGGGAAUUUCCGGUGGAGCGGUGAAAUGCGUAGAGAUCCGGAGGAAGACCGGUGGCGAAGGCGGCCUGCUGGGCAGUUUCUGACACUGAGGAGCGAAAGCGUGGGGAGCGAACAGG